This is a non-coding RNA of Ornithorhynchus anatinus (platypus), 74 nucleotides long. The record is from Rfam. NCBI's taxonomy places the organism in Eukaryota, Metazoa, Chordata, Mammalia, Monotremata, Ornithorhynchidae.
CAGUGUGAGGAGGACACAUGUGGUGCAGUGUGCUAGUGGAAUAUGCUGCAUCAUGCGUAGCCUCCCCAAACUGU